Molecule: long non-coding RNA, 6429 nt
Organism: Ailuropoda melanoleuca (giant panda)
Lineage: Eukaryota; Metazoa; Chordata; Mammalia; Carnivora; Ursidae
Exons: 3
Source: RefSeq, a predicted model, not a curated record
AGUACAAUGCCUUUAAUUUCAUGGCAUGUGAUUUUUUAGCUCUUCUAAAGCAGUUGUUUACCUAUGAUAAAUGAUUUCCUUUAUUAUGGAAGUGAAAACGGAAGAUCUUCGUGGAUCCAAAAACAUUUUGGAAGCAAGAUUAAGACAUUGUUUACUUUGGUUUUAAGUAAGUCCUGAGCUUUGAAGUAUUUUUACCCCUAGCGGUCAGUCCCUUCUUUUGUCUUGCCUUACAGUUUUUUCAUUCCUCAUGGCUGAUUCUUGACUUGGGGAAUGUGUGGCAGAGGUGGGGCCAGGCGUGAAGAUGCGAUGUUUACCUGUGGCUGAACGGUGCAUGGCAGAGUACAGACGGGGGAUGCGGGGAAAGAGUAAAACUUCUCCAGAUGUAAACCACUGUGUUUUAGCUAAAUAAUGUUAUGGGCUUUAUAUUAGUUUCCCGUGUCUGCUGUAACAAAUUACUCCAAACUUGGUGGCUUGAAACAAUGGAAAUUGAUUCUCUCACGGUUUUGGAGGCCAGAAGUCUGAAAUCAGCAUGACUGGGCUGGAAUCAAGGAGCUGGCAGGGUUAGACCCUCUCCCAAGGCUACCGGGAGAAUCUGUUCCUUGCCUCUUCCAUCUUCUGUUAGCCAUCAAUAUUCCUUGACUUGUGGCUGCAUCACUCCAGCAUCUUCAGAUCCCUCUCUGCUCCCUUUUCACAUCCCCGUUUCUUCUGCGUGCCAGUGAUCCCUCUGCCUCUCUUUUCUAAGGACGCUUGUGACUGCAUCUAGGACUUCUCCGGAUAAUCCAAGACCAUUUCCCCAUCUCAAGAUUCUUAGCUUAAUCACUUCCCAAAAGAUCUUCCCCCUUUCUUUCUUUUUUUCUUUUCUAUCCUUUCCUUUUCUUUCUUUUUUCUUUUCUCUUUUGUCCUUCCUUCCUUCCUUGCCUGCCUGCCUUCCUUCCUUCCUUCUAUCCUUCCUUUCUUUUUUUUUUUGCCAUAUAAGGUAACAUUCACAGGCUUCAGGAAUUAGGACAUAGAUAUCUUUUGGGAGGGCAUUUUUUAACCUAUCCCAGACUCUGUUUGUUCCAAAUGAAUCAACUAACCAUCAGGGUUCCUAUAUCUUCUCUCUCUUCUGAUGUAAUCUGGUAAGUGUUAAGAGCAUACAUGUAUUAAUAUAUUAAUUCAACAUAUAUUUAUUUAAGACUUACCAUGUGCCUGUCACUAAAUUCUAUGUCUAUGAUGAUGAGCAAAUAGACAUAGUCCCUUGUCCUCACGGGGCUUCUAGUCUGGUUGGGGAGAUGGUCAUUAAACAGAUACUCAAAAAAAUAUACCCCAAAUUGGUAAAUGCUACACAGAAGAGGUGGCUUUUACCAGAGUCUUGAGGAAGGUCCAUCUGGAGAAGUAAUGUUUCAGCUGAGAUUUGAAAGACAGUGAGAAGUGAGCCAGGCUAGGAACAGAAAGGAGAGCAUGUUAGUAGAGGGCCAGCCUACAGCUGGAAGGAACUUGGAGCUUUGGAGGAACUGUAAGAAUUGUUGGUAGAACUUACAGAGCUGUGGGAAGACUGGGGUGAAAGGAGACUGGAGAUGUCAUCAGGGGACAAAUAAGGCAGGGCCUUGUAGAAAUCUGAGCUUCAUCCCAAGUGUAGUAGGAAGACCGGGGGGCUUAAGCAGUGGCAGGAUGGGAACAGAGGUGGGUAUGACAUGAUCUGAUUUAUGUCUUUCCAGAAUUACUCAGGUUUCUGGUUGGAGGAUGGGUUGACAGGAAUAGAGUGGUAACAAUGGCAUGGUGAAAUCCGAGGUGUGACCGUAGUCCAGACAAGAGGCAAAAUUGGUUUGGACCAGGGUUGGAGAUACUGCUGGUGGAGAAAAUUGGAAAAAUGCAAGAUAUGCUCUGGAGAAAUGACAGGAUGGUCUCAGAAAUCAAGAGUUUUAUGUGAGGGAGUCAUGAGGAAGAGGGAGGUGUCAAGGAUGACUCCCAAGUUCCUGGCAUAAGCAGCUAGAUGGAUGGGGGGUGCCAUUUGAUGAAAGUAGGAGGACAGGAGGAGGAGCAGAUUUGAAGAAAAGAUCCUGAAUUCAAGUUUUUACAUGCUAAUCUUUAAGAAGUCAUUUGGCAUAGUGCCUGGCACGGAGCACACCAUAAAUAGUAGCUUCUGCUUUAGUCAUUUCAGAAUCAUGACUGGCCUUUGAGUCCAAACAUUUAGGUUCUAGCUCUGGCUAGGCCACUUUAGAGAAAUAAACCUCUUUUGGCAUUAGUGUCCUCAUCUAUAAAUUGGAGGCAAACUGGAUGCGUUUUGUGGUCCCUUCCAGGUUUAAUAUGCCUGCGAUGCUAUGAAAGUCUUUGGUCUUGACCACCUGGAACUCUCCUCUGGCCAGCUGGAUCUGCUUCAUGGAAGCUGAUGAACUAGAACUCUGCAUAUGGGUGGCAGUUUUUGGUGGAAGCUGACGCAGAGGGAGCUCUGGCCAAGGCAAACUGUGGCUAGCGAGGAGGCCUCAUGACGAAGGGGAAGGAUGUGGUUUGAGGAGAGCAGCAGCUGCUGCUGUCACCAGACAAGCAUGAAAUUCGCUGAGCUGCAGAGGAGAGUGCAGCCGCGGAUGGCUGUUUAUUAAUUGACGAAUUAAUGUGAUCUGGGGCAUAGGGAGAAAUGGCGAUGGGCAGAAGACGAAGUCAGAAAUUCUUAUUUCCUUCUUUCCUGUGCCCUCAUCUGUUACUGGCAGAGUCGUUGUUGGAGCCAGAGUGGGUUUUGGGGAUAGACCAUCUGCAGUCCAACUCCUCAUCACUGACAGAUAAAGAAACCAAGGUCAACGACAAGUUCCACAGCAGCAGAGUUAUGCUAGCCCUUAAGUCUUUUCACACCUGGCCCACCAGGCUUUUCUGCCCCACUAGGCUGCCAGGGAGGGUUCCCGGGAGCCAUUUUAGGCCCCAUUUUGGAAAAAGAGUCAAGUUUGGUUUCAUUUGCCUUAGAGCAGACCCCCGAGAGAUUGUUCAUUCCUCCCCACUCCAGACGUAAAAAUACCCUAGGUAAUUUGUUACACUUUGGGCCCUCUCCUCAGUCAGUACUUUAUUACUCAAAGUAAACCUGCCUGGACCCUGAUUCUAUAGGGAUCCUUCUGUUCACCUGACCUCAUCUGGGUUCCUUGGUGGUCAUAACGGCACGUGCUCUUCCAAAGCACAUCCUGCCUGUGCCCAAGUCUUUCAUUAGCUUAGACAGCGUCGUCCUUUUCCUCAGGUGUUGGUUGGUCACUUUUUAAAAACUGAACGAUGGAUUUGUUUAUGAGGAAGAGCUGAAAGGGAACUUACUAGGAAAGUUGCUGCUUCAUCCUGUGAUUGUGGUUAGCUUGUGAGUAAUCGAAUUCCCUGGCCUCUUCUUUGGAAGCAAUGACUGGUCAGUCUGUGGCUUUACUGUUGUUUCACAACGUAGGAGGCAGAGCACCCUCCCUCUACCUAACAGUUGAACUUAGAACACCUCGUCAGGGGAGCCGAAGAAGACUUCAGGUGUGCCUGUUGCCCAGUAAGCACAGUUCUCUAGAAGUCACUAUCGGGCUGAGCUCGGAGCAGGAUCCCUAAAGAAAAGCAGGCCCCUGGGCCUGAGGCGUAGCAUAGAGUAGGCUCGGGGAGUCCUCCGCAGUAUCAGGCAUGCGCUGUGGGUGAGGCAGGGACAGUCUGGAGCAGAGAUUUCUCUCUUGAAUGGGGGGAUGAACAGUGAGGUGAGCCAUCCUUUACGAGACUUUCUUCAAGGCGGGAGACCACAUUCUGAGGAAAGGGAGGGCUUGGUUUCCAGAGGCCACACAUCUGGUUGACCUCCUUCCAGUCUCCUUGAACAUGCUGUGCUCAUUACUGAAACAGAGGUUUCCCUGCUGUCCAUCCCCACCCUGGGGACACCCAGCCAGUUUCUACUGCCUCUGCGGGUUCAGCCCCUCUUGUGAGGCUCCCCUCAAGGGCCAGCUCCUCCCUGGAACCUUUCCCAAGAACUCUAGUCCUCAUUGGCCCCUUGGUUUCUGCAUGCCUUCCAUAAUUGCAAUCUCAUUGCACAGUCUCACUCUUUGUUCUUUGCUGCUGUGUGUUGUUUCCUCUGGAUGGGUGUGUUGGGGAGGGAGGAUGGGCAGUUUGUGCGUGUCCUUUUUCACUGGCUAAAUCACUAACUUCUUAAGGACAAGAACUCAGUCUUGAAUUUGUCUGUAUUCUCUCAUAGUAUCAGACUGAAUUCUGAGGACGAAAUGUGUUCUCACGAAUACUUGCCUACUUGUUCUAAAGAGUUCUCAAUGUGUUUGUCAGAUAAUGGACUUUUUAGAGACACACAUUAAGUCUACCUGUGCCUGCUUUUCAGAUUAUUUUCAAAAUCGUAUUGCUAAGAUUUAAUGUGGCUGCACAAGACAGAAAACUCAAAGUAGAAUGACUUAAUUACGAUUGGACUUUCUUGGGACACCUGGGUGGCUCAGUUGGUUGAGUGUCCAACUCUUGAUUUCAGCUCAGGUCAUGAUUUCAGGGUCCUGAGAUCAAGCCCUGCGUCAGGCUCUGUGCCAGGUGUGGAGCCUGCUAGGGAUUCUCUCUACCCCUCCUCCCACCUCCUCUCUCUCAAAAAAAAAAAAAAAAAGAUAAGACUUUCUUUCUCCAUGGAACCAACGGGCAAUGGGAAAGAGUCCAGGGUGGGUGGGACUCCACAAGGCAAGCACCCAGCCUUAGCCUUCUUUCUCUCUUGCUGCUCUGCUGUCCUAACAGGUGGUGUUCAUUCUCAAGAUCAACACAUAUUCUACAGUGGCUGUUUUUGACCUCCAGCCAUUACAUGCACAAUUUAGGCAGCAAGAAGGAGAGAGGGAAGAGGAGGAGGAGGAAGAAGGGGCAAAGGGCUUGCAUCAGCUGUCUCUCAAGGAACUUUCUCAGAAGCUGCUGCAAAAUGCUUUUGUUUGCAUUUUAUUAGUUCAUACCUCAUGACAUCUAGCUGCAAGGGAGGCUGGGAAGUGUAGUCUUUAUUCCAGGUGGUCAUGUAUUCAGUGGAGACUUGGGGUUAUUAAGGAAGAAGGGGGAAAACAGCUAGAGAUUCAGACACAUGGGAUCAGUUGGAUAAAGUGAGGUACACUGGAAUAACUGAGUCUUUUUAGCUUUGUCUCGUCAGACUGUUCGUGAAUUUUCCAGUGAGCCACUUUUUGCGUCUAUUAUGUGCCUGGUACUAUGCUUUGUGUUAAUAGAGCAGAGAACAAGACAGAUCUGGUCUUUACGUUCAAGAAGUUUACAAUUCAGGUUGGGGAGACAACAAUAAAUAGGAGAGCAAAUAAGUGACCAAGAUAACAGGAGAUACUAGUAAGUACUAAAAAGAAAAUAAAAUCACAUGGCCUUAGUUGGUUUCAAAAACUGUCCAUCUAUUGGGUAUGCUUAGGGUUGUUUACUACAUGAAUGAAACAUUCAGUCUUCUUUAAAGCUCUCUUGGUUUCUCUCUUGGAUAGUGCUUCUAAAUCUCUAUGAGCUUUUUAGGUGAAGAAAUGCAUUAAAAAUUGCUUUGCUAGACUAGUUCUAAGAGGAUUUAUUUAGACUGGAUAGUUUUAAGCUGACAUUUCUAAAAAGUUUAUAUCUGAGUAUGUUUAUAUUAAUUAAGGUUUUAUUUAUAUAAUGUAAAUGCACAUUUUCAGGAGCCAUUUAUUUAAACAUGUAAAGACCAUUAAGAAAAGUGUUGUCAGUUACAGAAGAGACUUCUAAUGGUAUGUGUUUAAUAAAGCUGUGUAAUUUAUAAAAUACUUAGAAAAAUGUUAAUGUUUUAUACUUUUUUCCCAAGGGAGGAAUUUUUAUUUCCCUACGUUCCAGACACAAUGGUAUGAUUCAGUUAUUUAAAUUUUAUAAUAGGUUGCCAUUAGAGUCAGAUAUGUCUUUGCAAAGGAAAAAAAAAUUUUUUUUAAGUGAAUAAAACCAAACAAAGAGUCAUCAGCAACGCUUGUGUGGCUUUGAUUUGAUGUGCUUUGUCACAGUCCAAGCUGAUUUCUGGACUCUUGGAGUAAAAUUGCUGGGGUUAAAGAGACAUUUCAUGAAAUUUUCAUUUUGUGACUCUUAUUAACCCAUACCUGAAUGACUUUCUAUUUUCUAGUAUUAAUUUUCAGCUGUUUCAGGCCAUGGCUUAUCAUCUCUCAGUUCUGGUGGAGACCACAAUCUGGAGAAGAAAGAGAACAUCCACCUUGUUUAGAGUAUGUUUAAGGAAAAAGUCCUGGAGAGCAGUUCUGGGCUGGCCAUGCAGGAAUGUUAAUCAGCAGCAGUAAACUGUGCACUGAAGACGUGUUGAAAACAAACCAGGGCUGAGGGAAAAACAGGAAAUUUGACCAAACAACUCUUCCUAGUAACAGCUGGGCCGGAGCUGCGGAUUGCUGACAGUGAAGCAGGAGCCAGCCGAAAACCAGGCAGGCUGAGUACACAAAAAGCCAUAUGGUUCACAAGAGGAAAUGGCCACGCGUUCCCUUUUCAAGAGACAGAGACAGC